GAGGGGAGGGAGCCAACCCUAGUUCUUCAAGAAUCUUCAAAUUGAAGCUCAAUUCAGGCCCUAAAUCGAUGCAUGAACACAUAAAAACGAUCACCAAGCUUAGGGGAUCAUGAGUUUAACGCUUAACAAGCUAGGUGUGAGCUUGUGGAGGAAGCGGGUCAAACGGAUCAAGAACGAAAAGAAAAGCAUGGUUUAGAUGCAAGGUAUAUUAUACUGCAACGGAAGACGAUCAAGCUCGAAGAAGAACCGAACAGAUGAAAAAGAAGCUUCCGCACAUUGUUCGUCAUUAAUUUUUAAAUGACAAAUCCUUUUACAUCAUGUUGUGUUACUUUUAAUGUAAAAGUUUUAAAUAAACCCGUAUUUUUAUAAGUAUGUGCUAUCGGAAUUAUGCAUUGGUUA
Molecule: long non-coding RNA, 399 nt
Organism: Helianthus annuus (common sunflower)
Lineage: Eukaryota; Viridiplantae; Streptophyta; Magnoliopsida; Asterales; Asteraceae
Exons: 3
Source: RefSeq, a predicted model, not a curated record